RNAcentral lists this long non-coding RNA (679 nucleotides) under Phasianus colchicus (ring-necked pheasant). RNAcentral describes it as "lncRNA (ENSPCLG00000004393.1)". Lineage: Eukaryota; Metazoa; Chordata; Aves; Galliformes; Phasianidae. The record is from RNAcentral.
UGACGUAUCUGAUUCCAUUCUGACUUGAAGGAGGAGCAAAGAUGACAAGAAAGAAAAUGAGGCAUAACAGAGGGUGACCUCGUGGAACAGAGGAUUCUGAGUGCACAAAUAACACCACGUGGCUGAAGGAGGGCUGACAGGCACAUCCCCUGCACCAGAAGUUCUGCAGAAUUAUUCAGCUGCGAUUUCAGAAUAUCUUAUUUACUGUAAGGAGCAAAUGGUGAAAGAAAUAACGUACUGACGUGGUCUCCAACAGACAGAAGAAACAUCGUGGUCUUCAGAAGAUAUCACCAUGCAGACAUAAUGCUCAUUAUCUGUGCAGGAGGUCGCCUUUGCAUGCUGGAGGAAAACCCUGGAGAUGGGGAAGAUACCUACAGUCCUUCUGUGACUUGGGACAUAAUAAAGUAAACAUGAGUCAGUUUGUUGUGCAAGAGCUCAUUUGGAGCACAAAGACAGGAGUGUGCUGAAUGCAAUUUCCUUUGUAAGUUUUUGAGAUAAAAAACACCACUGGAAACGAAGUGGGAAGGACCUCCUGAGAGUCCAGUCCUCCAACACUGAAAUGGAGAUGCAAAUACUUGGAACAGAAGACUGACCCUGUAAGACUGCCUUGGUGAUACGUGACAGAUCCUAGGAUCAUUAAGGGUUAGAAAAAACCUCUAAGUCCAAUUCUCCACCUACC